Molecule: small nuclear RNA, 200 nt
Filed under: Aegilops tauschii subsp. strangulata
Lineage: Eukaryota; Viridiplantae; Streptophyta; Magnoliopsida; Poales; Poaceae
Description: snRNA U2
Rfam family: U2 spliceosomal RNA
About the family: U2 is a small nuclear RNA (snRNA) component of the spliceosome (involved in pre-mRNA splicing). Complementary binding between U2 snRNA (in an area lying towards the 5' end but 3' to hairpin I) and the branchpoint sequence (BPS) of the intron results the bulging out of an unpaired adenosine, on the BPS, which initiates a nucleophilic attack at the intronic 5' splice site, thus starting the first of two transesterification reactions that mediate splicing.
Source: Rfam by way of RNAcentral
AUACCUUUCUCGGCCUCUUGGCUAAGAUCAAGUGUAGUAUCUGUUCUUAUCAGUUUAAUAUCUGAUACGUGGAUCUACGGAUCCAUGAGAUAUUAAGUUAAUCUUUUGUGGGGAAGAAUUUGUCUAUGUAGCUCUCUAUAUGGACGGUUCUCAUGCGUCGGUCAAGCGUUGCACUAUUGCUUGGAUCAGAUGCACCCCAA